Molecule: ribosomal RNA, 192 nt
Filed under: Triticum aestivum (bread wheat)
Lineage: Eukaryota; Viridiplantae; Streptophyta; Magnoliopsida; Poales; Poaceae
Description: partial small subunit ribosomal RNA
Source: RNAcentral
AUGACAGGAUGUCUAUCCGUAAAUUACAAUGUGCAUUACAAAGUGCACACAUAUGGCAACCUUCUCAUGUCAUUGACCAACCAGAGAAAUCAAAAGGCAAAGAGAGAAGAAACGUGGUGUAGGAGAGUCAACUAUUCAACAGCACCAAGGAAUCGCUCCUUAAUUACCCGAAGAAGUCAACCGAUGGAUUAA